RNAcentral lists this ribosomal RNA (512 nucleotides) under uncultured bacterium. RNAcentral's name for it is "bacterial SSU rRNA". It matches the Rfam family "Bacterial small subunit ribosomal RNA", at positions 15 to 518 of the family's 1533-position model. The record is from RNAcentral.
GAUCCUGGCUCAGAACGAACGCUGGCGGCGCGUUUAAGCAUGCAAGUCGAGCGGCAAGGGCCUUCGGGCCCCUAGAGCGGCGGACGGGUGAGUAACACGUGGACAAUCUGCCCCCCGGCCCGGGAUAGCCCAGGGAAACCUGGAUUAAUACCGGAUGAGACGGGACCCGCGAUGGCGGGAUCCGGGAAAGGCGCUGCGGCGCCGCCGGGGGAUGAGUCUGCGUCCCAUUAGCUAGACGGCGGGGUAACGGCCCACCGUGGCGACGAUGGGUAGCCGGCCUGAGAGGGUGGACGGCCACAUUGGAACUGAGACACGGUCCAGACUCCUACGGGAGGCAGCAGCUAAGAAUCUUCCGCAAUGGGCGAAAGCCUGACGGAAGCGACGCCGCGUGAACGAAGAAGGCCGUGAGGUUGUAAAGUUCUUUUCGGGAGGGGAACAACCGUGGCAGGGAAUGGCCGCGGGAUGACGUGAAUCCCGGAAUAAGCCCCGGCUAACUACGUGCCAGCCGCCGC